GAAAAUGUCAAUAUAUUAGAGAACACGUAUAAAUUUGUACAAAUUUGACCCACGUAAAUAAAUUUGAAGAUAAUGUAGCCUUUUAAGGCCACGUAUCAGUGAGAGAUUUUUAUCGGGCGAGGAAUAAAUUAUCAAAUUAGAACUUUGAACAAACGGCCAGUCCCUUUAUAUUGCAGUAACAUAUUAUGUAUGAAAUGUGGUGUUGUGUUCUGAUCGACACAAGCAUUUACGGAGAGGUUGUUGAACUAUGCUGAUCUGAACUACGUUUUAUAAUUGUACGUAUUCGCUUAAAGCAUAAAGGGCUAUUCCAGCUACGACCAGACGGAGACAUUUCAAGUAACUUUAUCAUGAGAUACCUCGACAUUUCGGUCUCAGACGGUUUCUGCAGUAACGAAGGAUAUAAGAAAUCACUAGCAUAUCGCUUAUGUGUGUUAUGAUAUUUGCGAGGACGAUUUAAACACACUAUAAUAUGUUCUGUAAAUUUA
This is a long non-coding RNA of Bombyx mori (domestic silkworm), 485 nucleotides long. RefSeq lists it as uncharacterized. Lineage: Eukaryota; Metazoa; Arthropoda; Insecta; Lepidoptera; Bombycidae. The transcript is spliced from 2 exons. The record is from RefSeq and is a predicted model, not a curated record.